Non-coding RNA from Callorhinus ursinus (northern fur seal), 568 nucleotides. Lineage: Eukaryota; Metazoa; Chordata; Mammalia; Carnivora; Otariidae. The record is from RefSeq and is a predicted model, not a curated record.
CUGCUUCCAGGUCGGAGCCAUGGCGAUGGCAAAUUCAAGCCCUGUCAAUCCCAUGGUGUUCUUUGAUGUCAGCAUUGGCGGCCAGGAAGUUGGCCCCAUGAAGAUAGAGCUCUUUGUGGAUGUUGUGCCUAAGACGGCCGAGAAUUUUGAGCAGUUCUGCACUGGAGAAUUCAGAAAAGAUGGGGUUCCGAUAGGAUACAAAGGGAGCACGUUCCACAGGGUCAUAAAGGAUUUCAUGAUUCAGGGUGGGGAUUUUGUUAAUGGAGAUGGUACUGGAGUUGCCAGUAUUUACCAGGGGCCAUUUGCAGAUGAAAAUUUUAAACUGAGACACUCAGCUCCAGGCCUGCUUUCCAUGACAAACAGUGGUCCCAGUACAAAUGGCUGCCAGUUCUUCAUCACCUGCUCUAAAUGUGAUUGGCUGGAUGGGAAGCACGUAGUGUUUGGAAAAAUCAUUGAUGGACUUCUAGUGAUGCGAAAGAUUGAGAAUGUUCCCACAGGCCCCAACAAUAAGCCCAGGCUCCCUGCGGUGAUCUCACAGUGUGGGGAGAUGUAGUCCAGAGCAGGACUG